CUCUUAAUGCACACGCUUGAGCCCAUUGGGUGCACUCCUGAGAUGUUAUCUGACAGCUGCUGAUCACCAGUUUCAGGUGUUUCCUGUCCAUAGGGAGACCACCAUUCUCUGACACUGGCUGUGACCUAUUAUUAUGUUAAAGGCGCAGUGUGACAACCACCUGACCGUCACCUGAUGGUCACCUGACUUUCCUGGGAGAAUUCCAGGCAUGCACCAAGUGAUGUGGCAUCAGCAGGUCCCCAUCAGAGCUGUGGAGGUGGCUUCUGUCUCACGACGGUUCUUGUCUUCUUUGCUCACAAACCCGGGAAUGCUCUUGAUCUCUGCACCUUCCACUCCUGUUCCUCAGGUUUCAGUCAAAGUGUGAGUCCCCAGGUGUCCAAUAAAAGCAUUUUCCCAUCUAA
Gorilla gorilla gorilla (western lowland gorilla) is the source of this 401-nucleotide long non-coding RNA. RefSeq lists it as uncharacterized. Lineage: Eukaryota; Metazoa; Chordata; Mammalia; Primates; Hominidae. The record is from RefSeq and is a predicted model, not a curated record. The transcript is spliced from 2 exons.